RNAcentral lists this ribosomal RNA (494 nucleotides) under uncultured soil bacterium. Its description in RNAcentral is "bacterial SSU rRNA". It matches the Rfam family "Bacterial small subunit ribosomal RNA", at positions 26 to 511 of the family's 1533-position model. The record is from RNAcentral.
AGAUUGAACGCUGGCGGCAGGCCUAACACAUGCAAGUCGAGCGGUAGAGAGGUGCUUGCACCUCUUGAGAGCGGCGGACGGGUGAGUAAUGCCUAGGAAUCUGCCUAGUGGUGGGGGAUAACGUUCGGAAACGGACGCUAAUACCGCAUACGUCCUACGGGAGAAAGCGGGGGACCUUCGGGCCUCGCGCCAUUAGAUGAGCCUAGGUCGGAUUAGCUAGUUGGUGAGGUAAUGGCUCACCAAGGCGACGAUCCGUAACUGGUCUGAGAGGAUGAUCAGUCACACUGGAACUGAGACACGGUCCAGACUCCUACGGGAGGCAGCAGUGGGGAAUAUUGGACAAUGGGCGAAAGCCUGAUCCAGCCAUGCCGCGUGUGUGAAGAAGGUCUUCGGAUUGUAAACUGCUUUUGUAACGGAACGAAAAGUCUACUUUACUAAUAAAGAGGAUCAUGGCGGUAACCGUAAGAAUAAGCAACCGGCUAACUACGUGCCAG